RNAcentral lists this ribosomal RNA (468 nucleotides) under uncultured bacterium. RNAcentral describes it as "partial 16S ribosomal RNA". It matches the Rfam family "Bacterial small subunit ribosomal RNA", at positions 28 to 507 of the family's 1533-position model. The record is from RNAcentral.
GACGAACGCUGGCGGCGUGCUUAACACAUGCAAGUCGAACGGAAAGGCCCUGCUUUUGUGGGGUGCUCGAGUAGCGAACGGGUGAGUAACACGUGAGUAACCUGCCCUUGACUUUGGGAUAACUUCAGGAAACUGGGGCUAAUACCGGAUAGGAGCUCCUGCUGCUUGGUGGGGGUUGGAAAGUUUCGGCGGUUGGGGAUGGACUCGCGGCUUAUCAGCUUGUUGGUGGGGUAGUGGCUUACCAAGGCUUUGACGGGUAGCCGGCCUGAGAGGGUGACCGGCCACAUUGGGACUGAGAUACGGCCCAGACUCCUACGGGAGGCAGCAGUGGGGAAUAUUGCACAAUGGGCGGAAGCCUGAUGCAGCAACGCCGCGUGCGGGAUGACGGCCUUCGGGUUGUAAACCGCUUUCGCCUGUGACGAAGCGUGAGUGACGGUAAUGGGUAAAGAAGCACCGGCUAACUACGUG